GCUCCCAUAGUUCAACGGAUAGAACAGCGGCCUUCUAAGCCGUAGAUGUAGGUUCGAUUCCUACUGGGAGUACCA
This 75-nucleotide transfer RNA is filed under the name Candidatus Komeilibacteria bacterium CG_4_9_14_0_2_um_filter_36_13. RNAcentral's name for it is "tRNA-Arg". It matches the Rfam family "tRNA". Rfam says of the family: Transfer RNA (tRNA) molecules are approximately 80 nucleotides in length. The record is from RNAcentral. Lineage: Bacteria; Candidatus Komeiliibacteriota. RNAcentral also lists the same sequence under 2 other names.